GAUGAAGAACGCAGCGAAAUGCGAUAAGUAGUGUGAAUUGCAGAAUUCAGUGAAUCAUCGAAUCUUUGAACGCACAUUGCGCCUUCUAGUAUUCUGGGAGGCAUGCCUGUUUGAGCGUCAUUAAACCUCUCUCAAGUAUGAUUACUUGGAUGUGAAGGAAGAGUACCUUAAACUUAAGGUGUGUUCUCCUUUGAAAUUGAUUAGCAGAUGGUAAUGUUAUUAAAUCCCUGAUGUUGUAAGAAAUAACAGUGGUUUUGUAGACUAUUAUCUAGCUUUAAAUUAUAAUUUUUAUUAUGGUUGACCUCAAAUCAGGUAAGGAUACCCGCUGAACUUAAGCAUAUCAAUAAGCGGAGGA
Molecule: unclassified non-coding RNA, 355 nt
Filed under: soil metagenome
Description: partial contains 5.8S ribosomal RNA, internal transcribed spacer 2, and large subunit ribosomal RNA
Rfam family: 5.8S ribosomal RNA (bases 1-120)
Source: RNAcentral